RNAcentral lists this long non-coding RNA (1002 nucleotides) under Phoenix dactylifera (date palm). RNAcentral's name for it is "long non-coding RNA (PDAC_LNC016481)". Lineage: Eukaryota; Viridiplantae; Streptophyta; Magnoliopsida; Arecales; Arecaceae. The record is from RNAcentral.
GAACAAAAUUUUGUAGAGCUUCCUUUUAGUAAUCUUGCACCAGCAACAAAGCUCUCCUGAGUUUUUGCCUUAAGGGAAUAAAAUGACAAGGGGCAUGCAAUUCCUCUGCUUUUCGGAAAAUGUGAACAUGUUCCUUCUACCUUGUGUGAUAAAUUUGAACCGUGACAGAAACUUUCGUGAAAGCCACGACUUUUCAGCCAAACCUCCAAAGCACGCGGCACAGAUUCCAUCCAGCCUUUGUUCCGCUCGGGCGUCUAUUGUAGAAAAGUUUUUCACUAAAUCUGGCAUGGGAAGAAAAUUACAUUAUAACCGGGUCUGUGGAAUUUCUCUGCUAUAAGUCCUUUUCCUCCAUUUUUCUUUGAUUAAGUUAUACUUGCUAAAAAAUGUAGUGAUAUCAAGUUCUUCUUUACUACUUUAUCCUAUAUGGCUUUUAGUCUAUCUUUACCCUCUUUUCCUUUUAUAUAUAUCAAAUUAUUUUUCUAGUGCAUCUUUUGGCCUAUAUUAUAUAUGUCCAAAUCAUAUAAAUCAUCCUUCUUUUAAUUUGUCUUCAGCUAGUGCAAUAUGUACCUUUUCACAAAUGAUUUACUUAACCAUAUUCUCCUUUUUUUUUUCAUAUGUGAUAAAUAUCCGUGUUAAACUAUCCCCACUGCAAGGUGUGUGCUAGUGGUUACAACGCAAAUUUGUUGAGCUGCUGUUUCUGUUCUGAGCAUAACUGACCACUCUAAAAUAGAUCUAAAGACGAGGAUAAAUAUCUAUUUUUUGAUAAAAAGAUUUCAUCUUUGGCACCCAGUAGCUUCAUGUUCUGCUUCACAGGUUCACUAAAUGCUUUUGCUUCAAAUGUAAUGGGAUAUUUAUUCUUAUUUUAUCAUCCGAUUAUGAUAGAUGACUACCACGUCUCCAUGGAGGGUGCCGACUAGAAUAUGUUUUCAGCUUGACAAAGGAAAGAUCAACAAACCCACAUGAUAAAACUAAAUAAAGUAAAUAAACAUUAGAUAAUCUAGG